RNAcentral lists this ribosomal RNA (386 nucleotides) under uncultured bacterium. RNAcentral describes it as "bacterial SSU rRNA". It matches the Rfam family "Bacterial small subunit ribosomal RNA", at positions 29 to 416 of the family's 1533-position model. The record is from RNAcentral.
AUUGAACGCUGGCGGCAUGCCUUACACAUGCAAGUCGAACGGCAGCACGGGAGCAAUCCUGGUGGCGAGUGGCGAACGGGUGAGUAAUAUAUCGGAACGUGCCCAGUAGUGGGGGAUAGCCCGGCGAAAGCCGGAUUAAUACCGCAUACGACCUGUGGGUGAAAGCGGGGGAUCGCAAGACCUCGCGCUAUUGGAGCGGCCGAUAUCAGAUUAGCUAGUUGGUGGGGUAAAGGCCUACCAAGGCGACGAUCUGUAGCUGGUCUGAGAGGACGACCAGCCACACUGGGACUGAGACACGGCCCAGACUCCUACGGGAGGCAGCAGUGGGGAAUUUUGGACAAUGGGCGCAAGCCUGAUCCAGCCAUGCCGCGUGUGGGAAGAAGGCC